Molecule: long non-coding RNA, 1063 nt
Organism: Mus pahari (shrew mouse)
Lineage: Eukaryota; Metazoa; Chordata; Mammalia; Rodentia; Muridae
Exons: 3
Source: RefSeq, a predicted model, not a curated record
AUUGUCUAGUACGCUUCACAUGAAAAGUUUAGCUCUCUAACUGCUCUCUCGUUUAAUGUAAAAGAGUCACAAUCACCCUGUUAUAGAUUAAGUUUGUAUCCCUCCAGAGCUCAUGCCCUUGAAGGCCUGCCUCCCCACAUCAUGGUGCUGGAUGGGCAUGAAGCCUUUGGGAUACAAAGCUGUUUAGGUGAGGUCGUGGGGGUGGAGCCCUGUGAUGCCGUCGGGGUUCUCAUAAAAUGAAGACACCAAAGAGCUUUCUCUACUUGAAGGUUGGGACACAGCCAAAUGGCGGCUGUCCUGAAGCCAGGAUGAGGGUCAGUACCAGGAAACUCGUCUGCAGGCACUUAAUCCCCAGAGUCCCCAGCUUCAGGACCCAAAGGACCAAACACUCCCUCUGUCACCCAGUCUGACAUUGUGUCACAUCCUGCAGCCUGAGCAGACCUAACACACCGAGGAAGGAAGGUAUAGGUGGCUCCUGAGGGGUGACCGUAGUUCUGAGGGAUAAUCUGAUUUACAUUUUUUUUUCAGCUUCAAAGUUGUGUGAAAGCUACACGGAUCUCAUACAAACUACAGGUUGAGCUUUGAUCAUCUCUGAGCCUGGCCCCAUGACGAGUGAUCUUUCCUAAUGCUGGGUAGCAGGGGCACAAGCUACAGUCAUAGCUCAGCCCCAGGAUUCCAAGAAGGGAAAACCAAAUGUUCGCCCGUGUUCCACAGCACCCAGCCUGGACGCCAGGUUGGUGAAGUGUAUUAAGUGCAUCUUUUGACUUCAUGCUAUUUUCAACCUUAAGCCUGUCCACUAAAAAUACUGAGAAACAAACAAACAAACAAACAAACAACCCACCCAGGGACCACGAGCACUAAGCAUUUGCUACUAAGAAGAAUCAGGGGUCCUUAGUGACAUGGCUCUUUCCAGAUCCAGAACAGACCACAGAAGCUGGGAGUUUCCUCGUUGUUUGGAUGACAGCAAAGAUGAAUGAGGUUACAUCAGAAGGAAUCAACUGGCUAGACAUGGUAAAAACUCAUGCGUCAAUAAAAAAAAAAUCAGUAAAAUAGAUCAUAAAAC